Eriocheir sinensis (Chinese mitten crab) is the source of this 860-nucleotide long non-coding RNA. RefSeq lists it as uncharacterized. The transcript is spliced from 3 exons. Lineage: Eukaryota; Metazoa; Arthropoda; Malacostraca; Decapoda; Varunidae. The record is from RefSeq and is a predicted model, not a curated record.
GUGAUAUGCAGGCCUGGUUGCAACUGUACCCACCACUCCCCUCCCCCUACGCCUUUCAUACCCACGUACCCCUCGGCGGCUCCCAUGCCAGGUUAGCACAUGAGAAGAACUGCAUUGGGGCCACUAAGGUGUAAGACUGCAGACGGGCAGGACCUUGAGUAAUGAAUUACAAGAUUUAAUUACGAAGAGCUUCGGCAGCCUAUUUACCUAGCACCUUGAAAUCACGCACAGCAGUUUACGUCUUCCUACAACGCCGGACGCCUUAAGUUAUCACACGGGAACUCAACUCCUAAUUAUGGAAAGGCACUUCAGCAGCCACACUCCCCCAGCGUCUUCCCCACAACCUGCAUGUGGGAACCAAAGGCGACGGUGCUGCCGGUACCAUCACUGUCACCACCAACACACCUGCUACCACCGUCCCCAGCCACCUCUACUACGACACACCACCACCACCUCCACCACCACCACCACUAGCAGGCUCUCCCCCUCUUUCCCCCAAUCACACGGGGCGAAAGAUGUCGUUGGUGAAGGACUUAAUCAAAUCUGGAGUGUUUUUCCUCGCGCUAAUCAGAGACGAAGGUUGGGAGCAAGAACUCUAAUGUCAUUUCCAGGCGGUGGACGAAACAAAGCUAAGAGAAGAAAGCUACACACAAACAUGUUUUCAGAGUUUCUUGGGCUGACGACGUUACGUAUUCAAGGCGCCGCGACGGCCGUAGAAGCAGCCGUCGUGUUUUAUUUUCUACACAUUUUUUCCGUCCUCUCUAUUUAUUUUUUCCCCUUCUCCGUUUCGGGUAAAUAUACAGACGUGGAUAUAAGCCUUUCAUUUACCAAACCUUGAUCCAUUUCGAGAAAUAUCAUUG